Nomascus leucogenys (northern white-cheeked gibbon) is the source of this 2187-nucleotide RNA transcript. It is a transcript of the gene named septin-7-like, with no coding region annotated. The record is from RefSeq and is a predicted model, not a curated record. NCBI's taxonomy places the organism in Eukaryota, Metazoa, Chordata, Mammalia, Primates, Hylobatidae. The transcript is spliced from 3 exons.
UCAGUGUGGCAAAUUUAGCUUUCAUGUUGACCACUCUGCUAUUAAUUGAACGACCAAAUGAAGAGAAGUAGCCAUACCAGUUAGACCUACUCAGAAUCAAAGACGCUAUUUAUUAUAAGUCUCGUAAGAGAUGGUUAUCAAAAGCACUUGCAUGCCAGUGUUUUCUUGUGCCAUUUCUUUCUACAAUAAAUCUAUUUGGCUUCUGUUUCACCUUAGCUGUCAUAGACAUGUUGUUUAGGUAUCAUAUUGUCAUUACUAACUUUUUGUUUAUUAGGGCAUAAGACCUAAGAAUCUAGACAUUAAUCUGAUGUGAUUGUUCUGUUAUAGUUAGCCUGUACUCCCAUUUUUUGUUCUUUGUACUUCCCCUUUAUUUUGAGUACAUAUAUGUGUCAUUGACAACUGCAGAUUUUUCCAAUUAUUCUUCCUCAGUCUUUUCCUUUGGGUAAGUAACUCAGCAUACAUAAUUCAGCCACCUGAUAAUUAUAACUCCACCAUAUCUCCACUGAAAGAACUGUAGUAGCAUCAGGCUAAACAGCAUUAAGUUAUCUAACACUCACAUUACAGUAGUAGUGUAAACCAAUUCCUUCAAGUAUACCUUUCUCUUCUAUUUUUGGCUUCUCGCUCUCUUUUUUUUUUUUUUUGUAGAUGGGUCAAUGCCCAUUAUCACUCUAGAUGGAUAAGGGAGCCUUAAUUAUAUACUUACAUGUUUGCACUGUCAGAUUGGAGUGGGUAAAAAUGUUUCUUCUUUUAUGUUUAAUACUCUUUUUUUAUUUAUUUAUUCUUUUUACUGUGCCCUAGACCAUUACAUAACUGAAGACUCCCACCUUCAGGCAGGAUUGCAUAGUACAUGUUUGUAACUACUUCACAUUGUCUGUUGUUGAGACAAACCAUUGGAUAUUGAGUUUAUGAAGCGUUUGCAUGAAAAAGUGAAUAUCAUCCCACUUAUUGUCAAAGCAGACACACUCACACCAGAGGAAUGCCAACAGUUUAAAAAACAGAAAGGAUGAACAUUUUAAAAACAAAGUUUUCUUUUCCCCGUUUUGUAAACACCUGUUCAAAUCCUUUGUCUUUUUGACCAGUAGUACUUGGUAUUGCCCGUAUUUAUUGAUAUGGGUUCUUUUUAUUCUGGGUAUUUAGUUCUCUCUCAUUUUCACUGUAUUUUUUAUGUUUUUUCUUUUGCUGCUUAUAUCCUAUUUUUGUUUUCAGUGCACUUUAUAGGAUAUUUAUAGUUUAAGUUAUUGUUCAAACCCAUGACCCUAAAAUUAAGAGUCUCAUGCUGUAUGACUGAGCUAGCUGGAAGACCGCUAAACUGUUUCUCUAGACUCAUGUCUAGUUGUCUCAGUAAUAUUGAGUUAUACAGUCACACAUAUUUCUAAUUUAAUUGUGUUUGGUUCAUUAUAUAUUACAUUUUAUGAAAUGUAGGGUCAAUUCUGGAACCUUUCUCUCUUCCAGUAGUCUUUAUUUUUGGCCAGUAGUAUAUUGUUUAAACCACAGCAACUUUGUAUAAUAUUUAAAAAUAGAUUGUAAUUGUCUCUAUUGUCCGUAUAGUACUGUUGUAACAAAAUAUUUUGUUUUUCACCUUUUUCAAUAUGAAUUUCAGAAUACCUUGAAACCUGUUAUUAAAAGCCCGUUAAAAUUUGCUUUGAAGUUAUGCUAAAUUCAUAUAAAUUUUCAGAAUGUUUGAGUACAUUUUUACUGUAUCUAGCAUUUUUCUGUUUUACACUUACCCAUUUCCAUUUUUAGUUUGUAAUGUGCUAAGUUUCAAAUACUGUCAUGUAAUACAUUUCUCUUCUUUUAUUAUGUAUUUCAAUUUGGAUUUUUACUGAUAAAAUAAAAAAGAUGAAUAUGAAGUGACCUCUUCUUUCAAAUUGGUCAUAUUCUGGUGGUUGUACUCAGGUCAUUUAAUACACAACCUCUGACUAAAACCACUGGUUUUAGAGCCAGCUGCUAUUAUUCGUUUUUCUCAUCAUGUGUUUUCACCUCAUUUAUUCUGUUUUAUUUUGUUUUUUUUUUUAAUAUAUAUAGGUAGGUACAUACCCUAAUUGUAAAAUAUAUGUGGUUCUAUUUUUUUUUCAGUGACAAUUUUAUUUCUGUUUGCUUCUAUCUAGUAUAGUAACCAUGUAACACAAUUUGUUCAGGGUCCUUUUAUAGCUACUGGGAACCUUUGCCAUGAAAAUUGCACCAAAA